RNAcentral lists this ribosomal RNA (253 nucleotides) under uncultured bacterium. RNAcentral describes it as "partial 16S ribosomal RNA". It matches the Rfam family "Bacterial small subunit ribosomal RNA", at positions 524 to 776 of the family's 1533-position model. The record is from RNAcentral.
UACGAAGGGGGCUAGCGUUGUUCGGAAUUACUGGGCGUAAAGGGCGCGUAGGCGGUACUUCAAGUCAGGCGUGAAAUCCUGGAGCUCAACUCCAGAACUGCCUUUGAUACUGGGGAUCUCGAGUCCGGGAGAGGUGAGUGGAACUCCGAGUGUAGAGGUGAAAUUCGUAGAUAUUCGGAAGAACACCAGUGGCGAAGGCGGCUCACUGGCCCGGUACUGACGCUGAGGUGCGAAGGCGUGGGGAGCAAACAGG